CAGUCGCCACGGUAAUACAGAGGGUGCGAGCGUUAAUCGGAUUUACUGGGCGUAAAGCGUGCGUAGGCGGCUUCUUAAGUCGGAUGUGAAAUCCCUGAGCUUAACUUAGGAAUUGCAUUCGAUACUGGGAAGCUAGAGUAUGGGAGAGGAUGGUAGAAUUCCAGGUGUAGCGGUGAAGUGCGUAGAGAUCUGGAGGAAUACCGAUGGCGAAGGCAGCCAUCUGGCCUAAUACUGACGCUGAGGUACGAAAGCAUGGGGAGCAAACAGGAUUAGAUACCCCUGUAGUCCCUGUCUCUUAUAA
Molecule: ribosomal RNA, 301 nt
Filed under: uncultured bacterium
Lineage: Bacteria
Description: partial 16S ribosomal RNA
Rfam family: Bacterial small subunit ribosomal RNA
Source: RNAcentral